UACGUAGGGGGCAAGCGUUGUCCGGAUUUAUUGGGCGUAAAGCGCGUGUAGGCGGCCCUGCAAGUCGGAUGUGAAAUCCCUCGGCUUAACCAAGGAAGUGCAUCCGAAACUGCAGUGCUUGAGUACGAAAGAGGAUCGCGGAAUUCCCGGUGUAGAGGUGAAAUUCGUAGAUAUCGGGAGGAACACCAGUGGCGAAGGCGGCGAUCUGGGUCGAUACUGACGCUGAGGUGCGAAAGCGUGGGGAGCAAACAGG
RNAcentral lists this ribosomal RNA (253 nucleotides) under uncultured bacterium. Its description in RNAcentral is "partial 16S ribosomal RNA". It matches the Rfam family "Bacterial small subunit ribosomal RNA", at positions 524 to 776 of the family's 1533-position model. The record is from RNAcentral.